AUCGCUUCUCGGCCUUUUGGCUAAGAUCAAGUGUAGUAUAUUUAACUAGCAUGCUAGACCAUUUUUGUUUCUCUAUUCUUAAAUCUACCGAGAAUGGUCUAGAAAUGCACCGUGCUUUGAUUCAAUCUCCUUAAA
RNAcentral lists this small nuclear RNA (135 nucleotides) under Sorex araneus (European shrew). RNAcentral's name for it is "U2 spliceosomal RNA (ENSSARG00000019500.1)". It matches the Rfam family "U2 spliceosomal RNA". From Rfam's summary of the family: U2 is a small nuclear RNA (snRNA) component of the spliceosome (involved in pre-mRNA splicing). The record is from RNAcentral. Lineage: Eukaryota; Metazoa; Chordata; Mammalia; Eulipotyphla; Soricidae.